This 379-nucleotide ribosomal RNA is filed under the name uncultured cyanobacterium. RNAcentral describes it as "bacterial SSU rRNA". It matches the Rfam family "Bacterial small subunit ribosomal RNA", at positions 376 to 770 of the family's 1533-position model. The record is from RNAcentral. Lineage: Bacteria; Bacillati; Cyanobacteriota.
CGAAAGCCUGACGGAGCAACGCCGCGUGUGGGAAGAAGGCUCUUGGGCUGUCAACCACUUUUCUCAGGGAAGAAGACCUGACGGUACCUGAGGAAUCAGCCUCGGCUAACUCCGUGCCAGCAGCCGCGGUAAUACGGAGGAGGCAAGCGUUAUUCGGAAUUAUUGGGCGUAAAGCGUCCGCAGGGGGCUCAUCAAGUCUGCUGUUAAAGGUCGGAGCUCAACUCCGGUUCGGCAGUGGAAACUGGGAGGCUAGAGUACGGCAGGGGUAGAGGGAAUUCCCAGUGUAGCGGUGAAAUGCGUAGAUAUUGGGAAGAACACCGGUGGCGAAAGCGCUCUACUGGGCCGUGACUGACCCUGAGGGACGAAAGCUAGGGGAGCG